Molecule: long non-coding RNA, 5932 nt
Organism: Gallus gallus (chicken)
Lineage: Eukaryota; Metazoa; Chordata; Aves; Galliformes; Phasianidae
Source: Ensembl
CUUUCUCAUUCCCAGGAGAGAUUUAUACAAGAUGGAGGAAAAAAGAAGGUGCAGCAACACACAGUUGUUUUGGCUCCUCUAUCCCUGGUUUGCUGUCAGUGUGAUGAGAGUGCAAGAAUCCUCCUUAAAGGUUCUAAAAUGGACUCAGUAUGAUGGAUGGAAAGCACCUUCAUCUGAUGAUGCUGAAGGAGACUGUGGAUUCCAGCUGCAAGCCAAUCCUGUGGUUUGCAGUUCAGCGAGAAUUUGGUUCACAUGCCACAUUCAGCGGCCAAGAGAACUAAAACAGACAUUUUUUCCCCUGAUUCAUAACUUCUUGAUUCUCUGAGUGGAUACCAUCCCCUGUGUUAGAAGGUCUGUUUGCAUGACCUAAGAAAAAUCCAGAAAAAAAAAAAAAAAAAAAACGAAACACAAAACAACAGUGACAUCAUGAAGAGGUAUUUCAUUUUGUCAUAAAAUCCACUGAAAGCUGGGAUUUCUUUUCAAGUAUUUACAAGAGACUAUGAAUCCUUCACCUCUCUGGUGCAUAAUUUGUGUUCCAGUCUCUGAGUUCUUCUAAGUAAGAGAUACCUCUGUUCUGUACAUCCUAUAUCUGCAGUCACUUGCAGGAACUUAUUAACCAGCUAUGCAGUAGAGCUUGCAAUGUAUUUUCUUUCUGUACUGUGGAAGCCAUCAGUUUUCAAACUCCUGUAAGACCAGAAGAGCACUCACUGUGGCAGCAUAAAACACAAAGGUCUGGACUGCCUACUCUGGGAGAUCAGUGCCUUCCAUUUCUGUCAGGAUUUCUUUCCAGGGCUGAGGUGUCACCUCUGAAUUAAGUUCACAAAGGACAAACCAAUUCUGAACAUACUUCUAUAAAUCCUCGUGGGACACAGUAUGGGGGCCCUUCCAGGAUGUGACCUUUAGAUAUUGACAGAGGAGGUGUAUAUGCGUGUAUUCUCAUAUGAUGGCAGCAGAGGGGCAGACUGACGGAAUCCAUCGGAAGCAAGGGUGUGCCACUGAAUUCCUCCAUGCAAGAAAAAAUGCCACCCAUUGACACUGAUCAAUGCUUGCUGAAUGUUUCUGAAGACCAACCUGUGGGUGUGAGCACAAUGAGGUGGAUUCCACUGACCUAACCAGUGUUGUUCAGCUCCAUUAAUGCUUUUUGAUUUGGAAGCACAAAUGAUUUCAGCAUCAGCCUGUGGUGGUGGUAUGUUCAACGAGAUAAGUAUUAAACAAGGAACCACUGAAAAACAGUAAAUUUAAAACCAUCAAAAAGCUUCAAGAUUCUUCUUGGAUGAGAUCCUUGUUAUCUUGGAUGUGUAAAUCCUACUGCAACUCAGUGACAGUCAAACUUACUUGUUCGCACCUUCUUUAAAGCUAUGGAAAACUUUGCUUGCUACAGAAAUUACGAAGUUAAAUAUACCUUCAGAUUUCUGUGGAUAUAAACCAUUUCUCCCUGAAUUUUGUUGGCCAGAUUGAAUUUCUCUUUUUUUUUAGGGAAAUAUGCAUCAUUUGGUAUUAACUUAUUAGGUGGUGGUACUUGGUAAGUAAAUGUAUUUUUAAAAUUUUACAGAAUAUUUCUUUCAAAAUAGCUGUAAGAUAUUGAAAUAACUAUUUUAUAACACCUCCUAUCAUGAUUGAAUGGAACAAAAUAAUGUCUGAUAUUGUCUAUCUGAGUAACUUCAUCCUUCUUCCAAAUUUGCUGAAUGAUCAUUUACUGUUUCCCAUUUCAGAUGAUCGAACAUUUCAUUGAUGAAGCUCAUAAAAAACUUAUUCAAAACCAUACUGAAAUUCAAUGACAUAUCUGAAAAUUAAAUGUUUUUUGUGCACGGACCAACCAUAGGUUAUAUCAGCAAGAUCCUUAUGUGAUCAAUUAGUGCUCCAAAGACAAACCUCUCUCCAGGAGUAAAAUAUGAGCCCCAGUCCUGGAGGGGAUUAACCCUCAGUUCGAGAAUAGUUAUUCAUUCCUGUAAUUGAAUACAAAAGACAUAGGGAUUGAUUUUCACCUAUACCCAAAUUCAUGGCUCCUGGGAGGGUAUGAGCUGCUGACAAAUAAUUUCAGCUUCAGCCAUUGAUUAUGCUUCUAUAGUGAACAUUACAUAUACAGUAAGGUUGAUAUAAUAUAUAUUGCUGGAGUAAUAUAAUAUAAGUACUCCCCAUUUCUUAACCUAUCUUUCACUACCCUUAAGCUGUGCCGUGCACAGGAGAUGUAGAAUUCGGCUUCCUAGGAAGGAAAUGGCCAUGAAGCAGAAAAAUGAAUUCACCCUCAUUGUAUUGUAGUGAUGUGGUGAAGAUAAUCACUGCAGCUUUAUUCCAUUUAUUUUGAAAGAGAAAGCCUUUGCCUUUUCAAACUGCCUUGACCAUAUCACCACUCAUCUAUUUGCAAUGAAAAUCUGACAUCAGAGUACAGAAUUAUAGCUGGAGAAAUUGUCUUCUCAUUUCAUAUUUACCUUGUUUCCUCUCCUGAGUCACUGGAAAUGCAGCGACCUAGGUCCGUGCUUUUACACUUUUUUUUACUAUAUAUACACACGUAGAUAAAAAAAUUAGUGUGUGUGUACUGCCAAACUCUUCAGCUCACUACUCAUCUUCCCAGGUGUCUUCACACACCGUAAUUUCUGGUGUUUAAAAUUGGUAGACUGCAAAAAGUAGCACUCCUGCGUUCCCUCUCAUUCAUAUUGUGAAUAUUCAGUUCUCCAAGAAUUUUGCUGCUGGUGUCUGACCAGCCAAGCCCAUAUCAGAAUCGGCCACAGUCUAAUCAUAGUUUUUACCAAUUAAAACUUGUGUGCUAUAAUUUGUUUUUGUUUGUUUGUUUGUUUGUUUUGAUAACCUAAAGCAUAUUCUACUGUUUGCUGUUAAAAUAAAAUCCUUUCUGUUUACCUCCUCAUGGCUCACUGAAAAAAAUAUAUGCUUACAAUUGCAGCUUUCAAAAUGUUUUUUAUUUCUUCAGAUUUCUACUACAAAGCUUCAAUGUAAUCAAUAAUUCUAACUAGCUAUCUGACAGAGUACUUAACUUUAUUUUUCCUAAUAAAAACAAAUAGUUGGAGAAGAAUGUGUCCAAAGCCAUUUUUUUCCAUUCCUUUCUCAUGGCUUGCCUCUUGUCUUCUGUAUAAGGAAUUUUAGCAUUUCAAAUUUUAAGCUGAAGAUAAAUCCUUCUUUUUGAAGAAGUGUUUCUCACCAAGAGAGCCUUUUUUUUUUUUAAAGUAAGGAUAGCAAAUCCAGCCUGAUAGAACAAACACCUGAAGACAUUUUCUGUACAAUAAUAUCUCUUUAACAGAAUUAAAAUUCUAGAGAUUUAAUUCUUUGCAGACUUAACUCAACUGAAGGAAUAAGAAAUGCUGUGAUAAAACAAUAUGAUUACUUCAGUCUCCAUGUAGUAUAAAGUACGAUUCUACAGGAUUUCUUCAGUAGCCCAUGUCCAUAGUGAUCUUAAUUUUUGCUUUGUCAGAAGAGCUCUAUGAUAGGUUAAUUCUUCAGAAAUACUUAUCGUCCAUUACAUCAGAUUUCAUUUAUUUCUCCACUAUGAAAUGCAAUUUUUGGAAUUAUUAUUCUUUUUAUUAUUGUUGCUAUUACAGAACUUCCAGUGUUGGACAAAUUUACUGCUGGUACCUUCCUGUUUUCAUCCCUUUUCUUCCAAAUCCAGUGCCUAACCAAUUGAUUGUUUACUUGGAUAAACAAUUUGUUUUCCCUAAUGAAAAAAGAUAAGACUUCAUUGCCUAUUUUGUGUGGAACUGGGGCUCCUCUAGCUUCUGCAUUUUUUCCUAUUACAUCAUAAGUCCUACUUCUAGACAGAAAUAAGAAUGAGAGAUUGCAGCCUGUAGAGCUGCUACUUAUAUAGCUGCUAGAGUUACUAUCUUAGCAUGCUCAAACAUAUUCCUUAUCUGCUUCUUUUUCACUGUUCUUUUCUGAUUAAUGGUGGAUUUCCUGAUAUGUUAGGAUAUUACUGUCCUAUCUGCAGAAAUAUUGUCUCUCAUUUGGAGGAUGGUGGGAUUUUUUUCAACUUAAAUUUUUACUUUGUGCAUUGUAAUACUAAUUUCAGUUCCUAAUUUUCCAGUAAGGCAAUUAGGACACUAAAAUUUCCCAAUCACGGAAAAAGUAAUUAGUUACUAGAAGAUAAGGAUGUGCAAAUUUGAACAAAUUUGUAUGUAUUUAUGGAUAUAAGAGUUGGCUUGCAUGUGUAACUUAGAAUUUUACAUAAAUGACAUAAACUCAUUUAAAUAUAUAAAAGUAAAAAUCCAGUACUUUUUCUAUUCAUCUUCUGUGGAAUUUAAUAGCUUUUUUUAAAAGGCAUGCAUUUUCAUGAAUUGAUGUUGGUAUAUAAGCAAGAUUAUGUAUUUUCUUCAUUAACUUUUACAAAGUAGAUAUGUAGGUGGAACUAAACAUUCAAAAGCUAAGCAAAGUUUGUGUUGUUUACAUAAAAGUAUUGGUAGAUUACAUCUACCCACAAAAAAAAAAAAAAGUCAUGUAUUUUUGUUUUCAGAUAAAAAUGCACAUCUCAAAGACUUUCUUCUCUACAACUCAAACUUUCCAAAGGUUUUGAGUCAAAUUAUAUCUGAGUGUUCACUUAAAAAAAGGAAAAAACAAAACAAACAAACAAAUAAAAAAAAAUCAGAACACGGAGUUCUGUAGAAGUUAGGUAUGGUAGUUAAAAACCUUUCUGUGAAUGGCCAAAAAUACCCAAACGUUGGACUUGCUGGAACAGGAUAUGUGUUGUAAAGGAAAGCUGACAACAGAUGUUCAUAUUGUUGAAUGCUUUUGACUCAGAUCAUCAUUGGGUUUCAAGCUGUUAAUGGUGAAAGAGGUAAGAUCUCCAAGACAAGAUCUCAAAGAAAGAAGAAACUGAUCAGAGUACUUAGAUCUGAUUAUUUCAACUCACCUGACUAGCAGAGUCUUGGAGUAAAUCUGCUGAUCUGAGUGGGAUAAUCAUCUUGACAUUGGCAUUGCCUUGCCAGUGGAAGCAAAGGGUUUUCAAACCAUGGAUGAGACAAUAGAAUUCCUCUCAUCAGUAGCAUGUUGAGGUGCCAUGAUAAGACAUUGACACAGAUGGUACACAGCAAAGCAAGGUGGAAGACUUCAGGGAACCAUCCAAGUCUUAUCCAGUGAUCCUCUUAUCUUUUCAAUACUAUGGACCAAGAAGCAAUGAUGCUUUAUGUUAAAAAAAAUAAUAAUAAAACAAAAAAGAGCAAUCUCAGGACAAGAAGUUACUACAGACAUAUAACCCUCAUUUCUAAAGGCAAAUCUGCCUUGCUUUCAUUUUUCAAAAGAAAAGGGCAAGUCUGUUUACUUCAUUCUCAUCAGAAGUGCUGACCCUUGUUCUGCUAAUCAGGAUAGAGCCUGCAUUGAUUCCACCUGGAAAAUAACAUAGCUGAAAAUCAGAUGGUUUACACUCACACCAAAAUAUAUAGCAAUAAUGAAGUUGGAAGAGCAAGGCUCAGCCUCAAGCUUGAUCUGACUCAUACCAUGAAAUCAUCAGGUUUUUUAAGCUCAGGAGGGUUACAGUUCUUCAUUAUCUGAAUGGAAGACUUCACAAAAAGCCUCAGGAGCUGAAGGAGCAAUGGAGAUACUUCAGCUUGAAAUCAAUACACUGGUGUGCUGCUCAGUUCCUUGGAUCACUUUGUCACUUGGAGGUGAGUACCAGCAGGGUUUGAAUGCUUACUGCCAUUACAAAACCUGCAGCAAGAGCAUCCCUGCAUCCUGUCGGUGCUCAGCUGACCUAUUAGAGAAGAUUACUGGAACUAAAUACCUUACUGAAGAAAGUGACAAAGCUAUUGAACCUAUGUCUGCCCACCCUUGGUCACAUCAAGCUCUGCUUGCCACAGUACAAGGGGACCCCUCUGCUAGCUCAGCUGCUGGAAAGAGUGGGGUCAUGAAGGCUGCCAUGUGAUGCUUUCCUAGUAUUGUUCCAGCCUGUGAGUUGGAGGUGGACAUCCUAAGCUUAAGGCGGACUUGGAGUUGC